This is a non-coding RNA of Macaca mulatta (Rhesus monkey), 773 nucleotides long. NCBI's taxonomy places the organism in Eukaryota, Metazoa, Chordata, Mammalia, Primates, Cercopithecidae. The record is from RefSeq and is a predicted model, not a curated record.
CCAGCUACUGGCGUCGGGGGCUGAGGCGGGAGGAUUGCCUGAGUCCAGGAGGUUAACUGCAGUGAGCCGAGAUCGCAUCACUGCAUUCCAGUCCUGGCAACAGAAUGAGAUUCUGUCUCAAAAAACAAAACAAAACAUGGUUUAGACUUAGUCUUGGACCUCAAUAAGCAAAUUAAGCAGAAUAAUGAAGCAAAUACGUAUGACAGUUAAGGAACCAUUCAAGAUAAUAGAUCUCAUAAUUACGUUAUUUGGAUCAAGGGUUAUUCAGGUGAGAGUGCUCAGGUUAGAGAGUGAAGCUGAAGACAGCUUUUAAGAAAUGGUGCAAGAAAGAUGAGGAGGUCAAGGAGAGAAAGCAAGAAGGGUCAACAAAGAGGCCAAGGCUGAGUGGGAGAGAAAGCCGGAUGGGGAAGGAUCACAAUAACAGCUUUGUAGGAUUUCUCCGCAAGCAAAUAAUCUCUACGUGGACAUCAAGACUUUACACUAAGAUUCUGAAGAUGAUUGAGUCAAUGGAUGAGUAUAACUAACUUUUGGAAACUUCAAGGCAAUUUAAGGAAACUGCAGGAGGACCAGAAACGAUCAGAAAGGAUCAAGAGCAGGGAACCAGGGCUGAUCCAAAAAAUGAGGGCCGGCAUUUGUGAUCUUGGGAGGAGCCACCCCAGUGUGGGUCAACUCCACAGCAUUAGGAAGACCAAUUCAUCAGAAUUACCUUUUCAAGAAAUGGAUCUGUUCCUUGUCACAUUCUUAGAAUAAAGACUUAUCUUUAUUACUACUAA